Molecule: long non-coding RNA, 316 nt
Filed under: Trifolium pratense (red clover)
Lineage: Eukaryota; Viridiplantae; Streptophyta; Magnoliopsida; Fabales; Fabaceae
Description: long non-coding RNA (TPRA_LNC004262)
Source: RNAcentral
UAAAAUUUGGGGUGUUACAUUACUACCCCUCUUAAAAAAAAUUUCGUCCUCGAAAUUUGUAAUGAAAGAAAUAUAUGACAACUAUCUUAUAGUUAGAGAAAUUUAGUAACUUCGAAUUAUAUAAUUAAGAGCAUAUGUACAUAAUCUCCUUACCCAAAAAUAAUAAUAAUAAAGAUAGAUACUUCUCUAAGAAUUCAUUUGAUAAAUAUAAUAGACUUAACUUUUAAUAUAUCAUGUUCCUAUGAUUUUCUAUAGCCUUGCUAAAGUUACAAUCAAAACUUAAAAAUUUCUUUUAUACACAUUUAAAAUCUAAACU